RNAcentral lists this unclassified non-coding RNA (162 nucleotides) under uncultured fungus. Its description in RNAcentral is "sequence contains ITS1, 5.8S rRNA gene". RNAcentral also lists the same sequence under 1 other name. The record is from RNAcentral. Lineage: Eukaryota; Fungi.
CACAAUACAAUAUGAAGGCCGUACGCGGCUGGAUUAUUUUAUUACCCUUGUCUUUUGCGCACUUGUUGUUUCCUGGGCGGGUUCGCCCGCCACCAGGACCACACCAUAAACCUUUUUUAUGCAGUUGCAAUCAGCGUCAGUACAACAAAUGUAAAUCAUUUA